UCCCUGGUAGUCCAGUGGUUAAGACUUUGCACUUUCACAGCAGGGGGUGAGGGUUCAAUUCCUGAUUGGGGAA
Molecule: transfer RNA, 73 nt
Filed under: Ovis aries (sheep)
Lineage: Eukaryota; Metazoa; Chordata; Mammalia; Artiodactyla; Bovidae
Rfam family: tRNA
About the family: Transfer RNA (tRNA) molecules are approximately 80 nucleotides in length. Their secondary structure includes four short double-helical elements and three loops (D, anti-codon, and T loops).
Source: Rfam by way of RNAcentral